Molecule: long non-coding RNA, 3229 nt
Organism: Hemicordylus capensis (graceful crag lizard)
Lineage: Eukaryota; Metazoa; Chordata; Lepidosauria; Squamata; Cordylidae
Exons: 6
Source: RefSeq, a predicted model, not a curated record
UUUUUAUCCGGGGCAGGAACUAGAAAAUAAGGGUGGUUUUCUGGGGAAAGUUGGAAUGUUUGGUGUGGUUUUCUCUGGGCGGAUGCAAACCUGGGGAGUUUUGGGGAUCCGAUUUGAGUCUUGCUCAGAUCUUGUGUGAGUUCUUUCCUCCCCUGCCAACACCUUCUCGAUGGCUUUUUCCUCUCGUAUGUAUCCCGAGCCUAAAUACCUAGUCGAGAGAAACAACAAGUCUGUGACGUCCCACCUAUUUUUGCGAAAACAGAACGUCCACUCUGCAGAAUGUGUCUGAUAUUUACAGAAUCUUUUUCUGCGACUGGAAAUCGCAUCUUUUUCUGCGAUCGAGAUCCUAAACACUCUAGCUAAGGAGAAACCCCUCACUGCGGGAUUAACUUCCAAGGAAACGUGUACAGGAUGGGCGCGCUGGGAGGCGGCCACGAUCCUUUUAGGAAACUAACGCUCCAGCCCAAACAGCAUAGCUGCAGCGGACGGAAGGGAGAACUGGGUGGUGGCGGUGGUCUCGCUUCCUCCAGAAUGAUGCUGAUUGUACAAUAAUUAUCUCUGUUCCUCCAUGAAACUAACCCGAGUGAUCUGGGGCGGGCAGCCUAACCUACCACAGGGAUGUUGUAAGAACAAAGGAUGGUAGCUCAUGUGAGCCGCCUUGGGCUCCUUGAAGGAAAGGCGGCAUAUAAAAAUAUUUGAUAAGUGGAAGGUGGGAGAAUUAUUAAUUAACAUGCAAUGUUAAUAUUUUGGAAAGAGCUAAUGAAGUCAUUCGGAUCAUUCCUAUUGCUUUCUUCUCCAUUUAGUAUCCGAAGUCAACUUUGGCGAAAUCAGAGCGGUGCUGUUGUUCCUUCCCUAUCUGGUUGCUAAGGUGCUGUAAUUCAGUUCCUCUUUAAAAGCAUCUUGCCUUUUGGGGGUUAUUUAUCGUCAGAAUCCCUCCUGUGCUUAAAGAACUCCAUUUAACUUAAAGAACUCCAGGCCUUAGGACUCCACACCUGUCAGCAGACAGAAACGCCGCGGAAACUGGCGCCAGUGAGGCUGCAAAGCAACAGGUUUUUCAAUGGAAACACACAAACCGAUUUGGAAACGGAGUCACUACGAAUACGAAUCUGGAGUAUGAUCCUUACCGCCACCAGCCGCCCCACAAACUCUUUAUACAUCAAAUAUUAUAUUUGAUUUUAAAACUCAAAUUACUGUUCUUUGUUUCUUUUAAAAUUGCUGUACCUCUUCUCCGGCAUCCUCCAGCCUCAACACGUUUACAUGUGAAUUAGUUUUACAUGUAUGAGAUUGAUUCGAUGAUGCUUUUAAAUGCCCGUGGCUUCUAAGAGAGCCCCAUUCGUGGCAACGGGUCUUCCUUCCAAGUAUCCCAUCUUGUUGGGAUAGACUGUGAAAAAUUUGGAUUCCCAGGAACACUUCUAAUUUAGUUAGGUGGAUUUUUUUUUUUUGUUUGUUUGUUUUGUCUUGGUGAACCGUGUGAGAGCCAAGUUCAUUGUCAAGCGGGCUUAGUUUUAUUCUUGGCGUGCGAGCUAUGAUGUGACUCUAUAUGGAGGGGUGGGGGCGGGUUCUUCUGCCCUUCCCAAAGGGCUGGAUGGUGAGAGAGAGAAAACACAAAUCUGAAAGAGGGGAAUUCCUUCCGGAUAGGUGAAGUCCUGAGCGAAGUAUGAAUCUGGAAAGGGUGCUGAGAUUAGAAGCAGCAGCUAAAAAGAUACAGAAGCAAAGAACGUUUGUUUAACCACCCCAGAAACCUAACAGUUACUAAGCGGACCAGUUUGCAAGCUGAUUCACACGUGCGUGGCCAUCACUCCUCACGGGUGAUCUGUGAAUCAGCCACAGCUGAAUCGCCGCAGAUACAACUUUCCUACUACCCUCUGUCAACGCAAUGGAGGCGAUUCACACAGUCAAGGAUGAGUUGCCCAGUCACUCUCGCCUGCAAAGUAAUUGCGCGUUACUCAUGCACGUGUGAACCAAUCCUUCUCCCAAUAUCUGUUCGGAUCUUUAAUUCUCUGUCACAGCAGUACAGUCUCUGAGGAGCCUAACCGUGAAUCUCCCUCGGGUUCAAAAUGAAGCUGGAGUUGGAUCCUUGGUUCACCUGGCUCAGGACUCCCUACACGGACUGGCAGCGGCUCUCCAAGGAGUCAGAACUGGUGGUUGCUGCCUCCGCUGAUGGCCUUGACCAUGAAACUGGAACCUUGAAUGCUUGACCUACAUUUCCAAGGGCAUCUGUUUCAGCCUAUCAUUGUCACCAUGCUUCAUUGGAAACCUGACCCUAUGGCUCUAAUAGUAUUAACAGAAGCUCUGACUUUGAGAAGGAAAAGUGGUGAGCCACCUUUGCCUGGAAGACCAACACGUUAAACUGAGAUAUGACCCUCACUCCCCGCUCCAAAGUCCAGUGGGCUCUGCCUAUGUCGUCCUCACUGCAUAUACUGGAGGGGACAAUCAAUUUGUGUCGGCAGAAAAUCUGCGAACUUGUAAACCACUUUGGGAACUUUUGUUGAAAAGCGGAAUAUAAACAUUUAUCAUCAUCAUCAUCAUCAUCAUCAUCAUCAUCAUCAUCAUCUGGACCACCUACUCCUACAAGAAGCUAUCUGCAUGUUGGAGUCAUCUUUUGGGAUCACCUUCCAGUCCUGCCCCUCUCAGAAGUUAGGGGGCCUGCGAAAGAGUGGAAUCCUAAAAGGGUCAGUCUAAACAGAGUCCAUGGAUGAGCCAGGCCCAGCAGAACGGCUUCAUUUUUAAUCGCUGCCGCCCUCCGAGAUGAGACUCCGGUUGCUCUUGGGAACUGCCACGCUCGGCCUAACCCGGGCAGGGAACCCUCCAGCUGUCCUUAAAAGGGGGGCAGGGGAGCAGCAGGGAACAUGUUCUUCCUUGUCUGUGAAAAGAGAGAAAAUUAAAAAGGGGAGUGCUUGAUGUUGGGAUGACCGGGUCUUUCCUUGUCGACAGGCUCUCUGCUCGGGUGGAGAAGACUAUCCCAGAAUCCCUGCUGCCAAGAAUUCCAGGGUGGGAGAAGACAUGUCCACAGGAUUAAGGCCUGCCCCCUGCACUCACACCCAUAUUAAUUCAUGUAUUUGAUUUAGAAUAUUUGUAUCCUGCCAAUUCAUUACAGCAAUUCCAGAGGCAGCGAACAAAUAUAGAAAAUCAACAUAGUUUCCUGCUCUGUCUGUGGCUAGUGAUGAUGUUUCCAUGAUGGUUUGUUUGUUUGUCACGUGCUCUUCCCCUCUGAUAGUGUUUGUAAAAU